RNAcentral lists this ribosomal RNA (441 nucleotides) under uncultured bacterium. RNAcentral describes it as "partial 16S ribosomal RNA". It matches the Rfam family "Bacterial small subunit ribosomal RNA", at positions 338 to 795 of the family's 1533-position model. The record is from RNAcentral.
CCUACGGGUGGCAGCAGUGGGGAAUAUUGCACAAUGGGGGAAACCCUGAUGCAGCAACGCCGCGUGAGUGAAGAAGUAUUUCGGUAUGUAAAGCUCUAUCAGCAGGGAAGAAGAAAGACGGUACCUGACUAAGAAGCCCCGGCUAACUACGUGCCAGCAGCCGCGGUAAUACGUAGGGGGCAAGCGUUAUCCGGAUUUACUGGGUGUAAAGGGAGCGUAGACGGCAGUGCAAGUCUGAAGUGAAAGCCCGUGGCUCAACCGCGGAACUGCUUUGGAAACUGUAUAGCUGGAGUACUGGAGAGGCAAGCGGAAUUCCUGGUGUAGCGGUGAAAUGCGUAGAUAUUAGGAGGAACACCAGUGGCGAAGGCGACCAGCUGGACAGAAACUGACGUUGAGGCUCGAAAGCGUGGGGAGCAAACAGGAUUAGAUACCCCAGUAGUC